AACGAACGCUGGCGGCAUGCCUAACACAUGCAAGUCGAACGCCCCGCAAGGGGAGUGGCGAACGGGUGAGUAACGCGUGGGAACCUACCCAGCAGUUGGGGAUAACCGCGGGAAACUGCGGCUAAUACCGAAUACGUCCUUUGGGAGAAAGAUUUAUCGCUGUUGGAGGGGCCCGCGUCGGAUUAGCUAGUUGGUGAGGUAACGGCUCACCAAGGCGACGAUCCGUAGCUGGUCUGAGAGGAUGAUCAGCCACACUGGGACUUAGACACGGCCCAGACUCCUACGGGAGGCAGCAGUGGGGAAUAUUGGACAAUGGGGGCAACCCUGAUCCAGCAAUGCCGCGUGAGUGAUGAAGGCCUUAGGGUUGUAAAGCUCUUUUACCGGGGACGAUGAUGACGGUACCCGGAGAAUAAGCCCCGGCUAACUUCGUGCCAGCAGCCGCCGUAACAC
Molecule: ribosomal RNA, 450 nt
Filed under: uncultured bacterium
Lineage: Bacteria
Description: bacterial SSU rRNA
Rfam family: Bacterial small subunit ribosomal RNA
Source: RNAcentral